CCUACGGGUGGCAGCAGUGGGGAAUAUUGGACAAUGGGCGAAAGCCUGAUCCAGCCAUGCCGCGUGUGUGAAGAAGGCCUUCGGGUUGUAAAGCACUUUCAGUGGGGAAGAAAGCCUUGGGGCUAAUACCCUCGAGGAAGGACAUCACCCACAGAAGAAGCACCGGCUAACUCCGUGCCAGCAGCCGCGGUAAUACGGAGGGUGCGAGCGUUAAUCGGAAUUACUGGGCGUAAAGCGCGCGUAGGCGGUCUGAUAAGCCGGUUGUGAAAGCCCCGGGCUCAACCUGGGAACGGCAUCCGGAACUGUCAGGCUAGAGUGCAGGAGAGGAAGGUAGAAUUCACGGUGUAGCGGUGAAAUGCGUAGAGAUCGGGAGGAAUACCAGUGGCGAAGGCGGCCUUCUGGACUGACACUGACGCUGAGGUGCGAAAGCGUGGGUAGCAAACAGGAUUAGAUACCCCUGAGUC
Molecule: ribosomal RNA, 464 nt
Filed under: Vreelandella stevensii
Lineage: Bacteria; Pseudomonadati; Pseudomonadota; Gammaproteobacteria; Oceanospirillales; Halomonadaceae
Description: partial 16S ribosomal RNA
Rfam family: Bacterial small subunit ribosomal RNA
Source: RNAcentral